RNAcentral lists this ribosomal RNA (139 nucleotides) under uncultured bacterium. RNAcentral's name for it is "partial 16S ribosomal RNA". It matches the Rfam family "Bacterial small subunit ribosomal RNA", at positions 355 to 509 of the family's 1533-position model. The record is from RNAcentral.
UGGGGAAUAUUGCACAAUGGGGGGAAACCCGUGAUGCAGCGACGCCGCGUGAAGGAAGAAGUAUCUCGGUAUGUAAACUUCUAUCAGCAGGGAAGACAAUGACGGUACCUGACUAAGAAGCCCCGGCUAACUACGUGCC